AAGUCGUAACAAGGUUUCCGUAGGUGAACCUGCGGAAGGAUCAUUAGCAGAUUUGGUGGUUGUGGGUUGGUGGGUAAUACUGCCAAUACACACACAUUCGCGCUUGUCUUGUUUCACAGAGUAAAAACUUGAACUUUAACGACAACUUUUAACAAUGGAUCUCUGGGCUCUU
RNAcentral lists this unclassified non-coding RNA (172 nucleotides) under fungal sp. Its description in RNAcentral is "partial internal transcribed spacer region". The stretch from base 1 to 46 matches the Rfam family "Eukaryotic small subunit ribosomal RNA", at positions 1786 to 1831 of the family's 1831-position model. The record is from RNAcentral. Lineage: Eukaryota; Fungi.